This 71-nucleotide transfer RNA is filed under the name Xenisthmus clarus. RNAcentral's name for it is "tRNA-Val". It matches the Rfam family "tRNA". From Rfam's summary of the family: Transfer RNA (tRNA) molecules are approximately 80 nucleotides in length. Their secondary structure includes four short double-helical elements and three loops (D, anti-codon, and T loops). Lineage: Eukaryota; Metazoa; Chordata; Actinopteri; Gobiiformes; Xenisthmidae. The record is from RNAcentral.
CAGAGUGUAGCUAAGAAGUACAGCGUCUCCCUUACACUGAGAAGGCAUCCGUGCAAGCCGGAUCACCCUGA